GAUGAACGCUGGCGGCGUGCCUAAUACAUGCAAGUCGAGCGAACAGACGAGGAGCUUGCUCCUCUGACGUUAGCGGCGGACGGGUGAGUAACACGUGGAUAACCUACCUAUAAGACUGGGAUAACUUCGGGAAACCGGAGCUAAUACCGGAUAAUAUAUUGAACCGCAUGGUUCAAUAGUGAAAGACGGUUUUGCUGUCACUUAUAGAUGGAUCCGCGCCGCAUUAGCUAGUUGGUAAGGUAACGGCUUACCAAGGCAACGAUGCGUAGCCGACCUGAGAGGGUGAUCGGCCACACUGGACCUGAGACCCGGUCCAGACUCCUACGGGAGGCAGCAGUAGGGAAUCUUCCGCAAUGGGCGAAAGCCUGACGGAGCAACGCCGCGUGAGUGAUGAAGGUCUUCGGUUCGUAAAACUCUGUUAUUAGGGAAGAACAAAUGUGUAAGUAACUAUGCACGUCUUGACGGUACCUAAUCAGAAAGCCACGGCUAACUACGU
This 496-nucleotide ribosomal RNA is filed under the name uncultured bacterium. RNAcentral's name for it is "partial 16S ribosomal RNA". It matches the Rfam family "Bacterial small subunit ribosomal RNA", at positions 28 to 506 of the family's 1533-position model. The record is from RNAcentral.